This 535-nucleotide small RNA is filed under the name Arabidopsis thaliana (thale cress). RNAcentral describes it as "ATSL211690". Lineage: Eukaryota; Viridiplantae; Streptophyta; Magnoliopsida; Brassicales; Brassicaceae. The record is from RNAcentral.
AAUGACAUGUUGUUGUUAGCUUCUCGCUAAACAAAAUUGUUGACGUGGUAAGUUGGAUGGACAGAAUUUUAUUUUAGACCAGGGAUUAGUCCGAGCGUAUAUAUUGACGAUUGAUAUAUAUAAAUUACUUCACUCAAUUUAAAAUUCAGUUUAAGCUUGUUGAGUAUAUAUAUAGAGAUAUUAAUUUAUUUAAUAAUUAAAAUUUUCUAAUAUUUUCCUUUUUGAAUUAUUAUUUUUGUUAAUUUCGGUUAAAUUUGGUUAAUUUUAGUUAUUUUGAAAGAAAAAAAAAAACACAACGAAUAUGAUAAUAUUUUGGUUAGUUACGGUUUUCAUUUAUUUAAGUUUUAAUCUUUACCCAUUGCACAUUGCACCUUAAAUAAAUAAAAUCCCUACCCAUUGAACAUGCUCUAAAAUGAGUUAUCGACCGUCAUGUUAUCGAUACACAGAAGGGUUAUGUUGUAGGAGAUUUUUCAGAUUGUGGUUUGACCUGUAUGUAUUUGACAUGAACGUUUGUCUUGCAAAAAAAAAAAAUUAA